GCAUCAGUUGUGCAGCUGGUUAGCACACGCUCCUGGAAAAGGUGAGAUGCGGGUUCGAUUUUCAUCUGAUGUU
Parelaphostrongylus tenuis is the source of this 73-nucleotide non-coding RNA. NCBI's taxonomy places the organism in Eukaryota, Metazoa, Nematoda, Chromadorea, Rhabditida, Metastrongylidae. The record is from the annotation of a GenBank genome assembly.